RNAcentral lists this ribosomal RNA (482 nucleotides) under uncultured bacterium. RNAcentral describes it as "partial 16S ribosomal RNA". It matches the Rfam family "Bacterial small subunit ribosomal RNA", at positions 30 to 507 of the family's 1533-position model. The record is from RNAcentral.
AUUGAACGCUGGCGGCAUGCUUUACACAUGCAAGUCGAACGGUAACAGGCCGCAAGGUGCUGACGAGUGGCGAACGGGUGAGUAAUGCAUCGGAACGUGCCCAGUCGUGGGGGAUAACUACUCGAAAGAGUAGCUAAUACCGCAUACGAUCUAUGGAUGAAAGCGGGGGACCGUAAGGCCUCGCGCGAUUGGAGCGGCCGAUGUCAGAUUAGGUAGUUGGUGGGGUAAAGGCUCAUCAAGCCAACGAUCUGUAGCUGGUCUGAGAGGACAACCAGCCACACUGGGACUGAGACACGGCCCAGACUCCUACGGGAGGCAGCAGUGGGGAAUUUUGGACAAUGGGCGCAAGCCUGACCCAGCAAUGCCGCGUGCAGGAAGAAGGCCUUCGGGUUGUAAACUGCUUUUGUACGGAACGAAACGGCUCUGGUUAAUACCCGGGGCUAAUGACGGUACCGUAAGAAUAAGCACCGGCUAACUACGUG